UGGACAUUUGGGUUGUUUCCAACUCUUGGGUGUUGUGAAUAAUGCUGCCAUGAACAAAGAUGUAUAGCUGUUUUGGUGCGUUUUGUAUGGCUAGAAACAAAAUCGCUAGAAUACAGAAUAAAUUCAACUUUAGAAGGAUUUCAUAAAAAGGCUUUAUAUGCAAAGCAAUGGACAAACACAGAAAAUGCCAGGAAACCUAAGAAGGAGGAAAACAAAUCAAGCACGUGUCCUUAUAGGGCAGUUUGACCAAGGAACAUAACAGACAGAAGUAUGGUCUUGAGUGGCCACAAGGCAAGUAGAUCUCCAUCCUAUUGACCCCCAGAACCAGGGAU
This 332-nucleotide long non-coding RNA is filed under the name Callithrix jacchus (white-tufted-ear marmoset). Its description in RNAcentral is "lncRNA (ENSCJAG00000078192.1)". The record is from RNAcentral. Lineage: Eukaryota; Metazoa; Chordata; Mammalia; Primates; Cebidae.